RNAcentral lists this ribosomal RNA (207 nucleotides) under uncultured bacterium. Its description in RNAcentral is "partial 16S ribosomal RNA". It matches the Rfam family "Bacterial small subunit ribosomal RNA", at positions 568 to 774 of the family's 1533-position model. The record is from RNAcentral.
CUUGUAGGCGGUUUGUCGCGUCUGCUGUGAAGAUCCGAGGCUCAACCUCGGACUUGCAGUGGGUACGGGCAGACUAGAGUGUGGUAGGGGAGACUGGAAUUCCUGGUGUAGCGGUGAAAUGCGCAGAUAUCAGGAGGAACACCGAUGGCGAAGGCAGGUCUCUGGGCCACUACUGACGCUGAGAAGCGAAAGCAUGGGGAGCGAACA